UCGGCAUGGUGAUGAUGUUUUUUUUAAUGUUUUCAUAUGAUUAUUCAUAUGAUGAAUACUAUCCUCCUACUCAUUCUGA
Cajanus cajan (pigeon pea) is the source of this 79-nucleotide non-coding RNA. The record is from Rfam. Lineage: Eukaryota; Viridiplantae; Streptophyta; Magnoliopsida; Fabales; Fabaceae.